RNAcentral lists this long non-coding RNA (925 nucleotides) under Macaca mulatta (Rhesus monkey). Its description in RNAcentral is "lncRNA (ENSMMUG00000054982.1)". The record is from RNAcentral. Lineage: Eukaryota; Metazoa; Chordata; Mammalia; Primates; Cercopithecidae.
UCAACUCUCUGUAAAAUGGACCAGUCAACAGGAUGUGGGUGGGGUCAUAUAAGGGAAUAAAAGCAGGCUGCCCGCGCCACAAGUGGCGACCUUCUCGGGUUCACUUUCACGUUGUGAAGCUUUGUUCUUUCAUCACUGUUUGCAGUAUAUUUUGCUGCUGCUUACUCUUGGGGUCCAUGCCACCUUAAGAACUGUAACACUCAACCAUAAAGGUAUGGAGCUUCACUGCUGAAAUCAGCGAGACCACGAACCCACCAGAAGGAAGAAACUCUGAACACGUCUGAACAUCAGAAGGAACAAACUCCAGACACACCAUUUUUAAGAACCGUAACACUCACCUCGAGGGUCCACGGCUUCAUUCUUGAAGUCAGUGAGACCAAGAACCCACCAAUUCCGGACACAGCAGGAUAAGAAAGGAAAAUGGGGACUUGUUUUACACAUGAUUUGAAAGAUGGUUGAAUCCAUGGAUGUGGAACCCACGGAUAUGGAGGGCUGACUUUGUUCAACUAUGCUAAUCCUUUGGCCAGGUCACAUCCCUGUACUUCAGCUACUUUAUAAUCUGAAAGCUGUUCCUGCAUGGAAAGGAUACCCCAUGAUUCUCCUACCACCAGAUGCUACUGAGGCUAAACUGAUUAGACUGAGUAAAAAUAUCUAUGGGGAAAACUGUCUUUCAGAAUCCUACUUUGAACUAGAGAAAUCCAUUCUCUUGAGGCUGUCUGCUGUGGAGAAGUUGGCCUUAUCAAUCUGCCUUUGGAGUUCAAGUUAUACAGGAUCUGCAAGGCUACCUGUGACUGAAUGGUUGGUUGGUCAUUACAAAGUUUUUCAGGAGCUCCUGAAAGAUUACUGCAUAAGCAAGGGAGGAUGGAGACCAGACCUCUGGCUACUGUUGCUGCCACCACCACAGCCACCACUUUCAUCCUCGUGA